UCNCAUGAAGCAGCAAUUAAAGGAGUAAUCCGCUUUGAGAUGGACCCGCGGCGCAUUAGCUAGUUGGAGAGGUAACGGCUCACCAAGGCGACGAUGCGUAGCCGACCUGAGAGGGUGAUCGGCCACAUUGGAACUGAGACACGGUCCAGACUCCUACGGGAGGCAGCAGUGGGGAAUAUUGCACAAUGGGCGAAAGCCUGAUGCAGCAACGCCGCGUGAGUGAUGAAGGUCUUCGGAUUGUAAAGCUCUGUCUUUUGGGACGAUAAUGACGGUACCAAAGGAGGAAGCCACGGCUAACUACGUGCCAGCAGCCGCGGUAAUACGUAGGUGGCAAGCGUUGUCCGGAAUUACUGGGCGUAAAGGAUGUGUAGGCGGAUAUUUAAGUGAGAUGUGAAAUCCCCGAGCUCAACUUGGGGGCUGCAUUUCAAACUGGGUAUCUAGAGUGCAGGAGAGGAAAGCGGAAUUCCUAGUGUAGCGGUGAAAUGCGUAGAGAUUAGGAAGAACAUCAGUGGCGAAGGCGGCUUUCUGGACUGUAACUGACGCUGAGGCAUGAAAGCGUGNGGAGCAAACAGGAUUAGAUACCCUGGUAGUCCACGCCGUAAACGAUGAGUA
RNAcentral lists this ribosomal RNA (612 nucleotides) under uncultured bacterium. RNAcentral describes it as "bacterial SSU rRNA". It matches the Rfam family "Bacterial small subunit ribosomal RNA", at positions 186 to 815 of the family's 1533-position model. The record is from RNAcentral.